RNAcentral lists this long non-coding RNA (212 nucleotides) under Capsicum annuum. Its description in RNAcentral is "long non-coding RNA (CANN_LNC014087)". Lineage: Eukaryota; Viridiplantae; Streptophyta; Magnoliopsida; Solanales; Solanaceae. The record is from RNAcentral.
CACCACCUAUUCCUUUCCUAACCAUUUCCCAAGAAAACAUCUUCACCUCACUUUCCAAAACUAUAACUAUUAGUAGUCACCCUAGACUCUCCCCCACUUAUGGCCUUCUAUAUUCCCCAUUUCAACACAUCACCAUACUUCCAAACCACUACCAUCCUAACAUUAGAAGAGUCACUUAAGAAACCGAAUUACAAAAGUCAUCCAUGCCCCCA